Molecule: long non-coding RNA, 1573 nt
Filed under: Cinara cedri
Lineage: Eukaryota; Metazoa; Arthropoda; Insecta; Hemiptera; Aphididae
Source: RNAcentral
CGUCAUUAUACCAUAAUAAUGGACGCGAAAUCUUAAAAAAAAAAAAUGUUUUUUUUUUUUUAUUUCCCAUAUACAUAUAUAAUAUUAUUGUUGUUGAUCUUGUUCCACGUAUUCCAAUCAAAACAAUGACCGGAACACCGGUACAGACGAUCCGCGUAAAUUUCAAGCGUUAAGAAAACAUGUCGACGGUUGCCUAUACUUAACGCCGUAUCGCGAAAAACGCAUUAUUAUUGUUAUUAUUAUUAUUAUUACUAUGAUUAUUAUUAUUAUUAUUAUUAUUGUUGUUACUAUGGGGGCGAGCGCACAAGCGAUCCGUAUUGAAACGAAGCGCCACCCUCCUCCCCCCCACCCAUAUCACCGGGAAUUUAAACGAGCGGUACCGUAUUCUAAUCUACAGUAUUCGAUUCGAUUUUGGUUUUUUUUUUUCUCAAUUACGCCUAUUUAAAACGAAAAAAAAAAUACAUAUUUUCCCGUAUCGUCUAUAACGAUAAACAUAAUUUUUAAUGACAAAGCAAUUUAUCGUCUUUUUCACGCGUUACGUGCAUACCGAAUCUAAACCCGAGUCCUGGAGUAUGUUAUUCCGUUGUAGUGACAACGUAGGUAUUACAAGUAGAAGGUAUCGCGACAAAAAAAAAAAAUAAAAAAUAUUAUUAACAACAAUAAUCAACCUGACUACAGUUAAUAACAUUAUUCGUCAACGAAAUUAACAAAUUGAUUUUAGACCCCGCAGUUAACGUACAGUCAGACUAUCGUUCACGCAUAAUAAUGUACAUUUAUCAUUAACUAAUAUUGGUGUAUACCUAAUGAAAAUUAAUAUUAUGAUUUCUUCUUUUUUUCUUUUUUUUUCUUUCUGUGUGAAAAAAAAAAUUAACUGUCGCGUUUUAAACAUAUUAAUACUUGCCUAAUAUCUAUUGAAACAUUACAGUAUAUAAUAAUAGUAUAAUAUAAUAAUGUGUUAAUGACUUCGAUACACGGUGCGAUCGUACCUACAAUAUUAUGUGUUUAUAAUAAUAUUAUUAAAUAUUUUAUUUUAUCGUCCAUAAACGAUUGAAACAAUUACAUAUCAUACGAGCUUUGUUUGCUCUAUAUAAAAAAAAUUUAUGUAAAAAAAAAAAAAAUAAAUAAAUAAAUAAAAAAACGAAAAAAAAAAUUACUUAUGUUACUACUAUAUUUUAGCGUGCGCGUGUGUGUAUAUACCUAAUUUACUAUUAACAAUAUCAUAUUUAUUAUAACAAUAUCAUUAUUAUUACUAUUAUUAUUAUUAUUAUUAUUAUUAUUAUUAUUAUUAUUAUUAUUAUUAUUAUUAAAAUGAUUAGUAUUUUAUCGGCUUUUGUAAUAUCGUAUUAGUUACUGCGUGUUAAACACCGUCACGAUAAUAAUGAUAAUAUUAUAUUACCCUAUUUUAUUCGUAUAGACCCUGCCACUUUGUUGGUUGUGUAAAACCGUUUUCUCGUAUUAUUGUACAUAUCUUAUAUUCGAUAUAAUAUAAUUAUAAUUAAUGCCUUAUAAAGAUAAUAUUAUACAUAAGUAAUAUAACGGCAUUAUAAUAAUAAUGAUACCUACCCAUGUGACG